UGAAAAUGAAUAGGAAAUGGACACAAAUAAGGAAAUGAUGUUAGAGUACUGGAUUAUAAAACCUCUAAGUCCUUUUCAAUUCUAAAAUACUAUGAUCUCCUAGGGAAUCCUCAGAGAAUCUUUUCUAAUUAGACAGGAAAGAUUUCCUGGAUAAAGUGACCUAGGGAUGCAGAAUGUCCUCUAGAAGGAAAGAUUGCUGAUACAAUAAUAGGGAAGAACAGUUCACCUAUACAGACAUUUGUUGAGUAUUUACUGUCCUGGGCAGUAUGCUAAGUAUUUAACAUACACGAUCAUUUACUUUAAUCCUCUUUGAAAUCCUACUAAUAGAGAGUUGCUAUAAUUAUCACCAUUUUGCAGUUGAGGAAAUAGAGAGGAGAUGAAACUUGCUUAGAAUUGACUUAGUUACUAAAUGAAAGUUAAUGGAACUAAUAAUUUUAAGCCACUAUAUCAGAUAUCUCAAUUCACCUGAACUUGACUUAUCUGGCAUGUUUAGUAAAAAACAGAUAUUCUAGUUCCUUCUCCUACAACUUCCAGGAGGUAAAUUCUAGGGUGAGGCCUGAGAAUAAAACAUUUACAAGUCCUCAAAGUGAGUACCAAAAUCUACCCUGUAGGAGAAAAAGUGCCCUAAUAAAACCAAGAUGCCUCCCAGGUAAUCUGGUCUGCAUAUGUCAAAGCCUAGGAGAUGCUGGCAGUUGG
This 696-nucleotide long non-coding RNA is filed under the name Marmota monax (woodchuck). The record is from RNAcentral. Lineage: Eukaryota; Metazoa; Chordata; Mammalia; Rodentia; Sciuridae.